Molecule: long non-coding RNA, 557 nt
Filed under: Vombatus ursinus (common wombat)
Lineage: Eukaryota; Metazoa; Chordata; Mammalia; Diprotodontia; Vombatidae
Description: lncRNA (ENSVURG00010018993.1)
Source: RNAcentral
GAAGGCUGGAGCUGCUGUGGACAGAGCAGUGACCCCGGGCGUGCCUCAGGGGCAGGCUUGUCAGCUGCUCGUGGGGCUGUUGAGGUGAGAAAAAGGGAAGUGCUCAUAUUUGAGGAGGCAGUUUGGGGGACCAUUGCUACCCAGAAAGUUUCCAGCCUGAGUCUAAGCCCGGGCUGGGGCCGAAGCUGGCUGACUGAUAGGACGCCAGGCACCUGAGUCUGCUCCUGAUCUGGGACAGUAACGCAGGACCAUUAUUUUUGGUAUUUCGAUUGCUCUCGGCUCCGGAAGAGGACGGGCCCUUGUCCUAUCACAGACCUCAGUUCUAAGGGUUGGCCAACAGCUCUGACUUCCUGCCGCCCUCAGGCACAGGGCUUGACCUUGCUCAAGAAGAAUCUGUCUUCCAGCGGGUCUGACCUCAAAGAAGUCACCCACACCAGCAUACAUCCAACUGGAGAUGUGCUGAUUAAAAGGGCUGCUGCCAUCUGGAAGGCCCUUGCCCCACCCCAGCCCAAACCAAAAAAGCUUGCUUUUUCUUUUAGCUUGGAAUGUGACCCCCA